Molecule: ribosomal RNA, 250 nt
Filed under: uncultured delta proteobacterium
Lineage: Bacteria; Deltaproteobacteria
Also listed under: 1 other name
Description: partial 16S ribosomal RNA
Rfam family: Bacterial small subunit ribosomal RNA
Source: RNAcentral
GACGGAAGGUGCAAGCGUUGCUCGGAAUCACUGGGCGUAAAGGGUGCGUAGGCGGCUUCUUAAGUCUGGUGUGAAAGCCCAGGGCUCAGCUCUGGAAGUGCACUAGAAACUGGGGAGCUUGAGUACCGGAGGGGAGAGUGGAAUUCCUGGUGUAGCGGUGAAAUGCGUAGAUAUCAGGAGGAAUACCGGUGGCGAAAGCGACUCUCUGGACGGUUACUGACGCUGAGGCACGAAAGCGUGGGGAGCAAAC